CCUACGGGAGGCAGCAGUGGGGAAUUUUGCGCAAUGGGGGAAACCCUGACGCAGCAACGCCGCGUGGAGGAUGAAGUAUCUUGGUACGUAAACUCCUUUCGAUGGGGAAGAUAAUGACGGUACCCAUAGAAGAAGCCCCGGCUAACUUCGUGCCAGCAGCCGCGGUAAUACGAGGGGGGCAAGCGUUGUUCGGAAUUAUUGGGCGUAAAGGGUGCGUAGGCGGUUCAGCAAGUCUCGUGUGAAAUCUUCGGGCUCAACCCGAAGUCUGCACGGGAAACUACUGGGCUUGAGUAAUGGAGAGGUGAGUGGAAUUUCCGGUGUAGCGGUGAAAUGCGUAGAUAUCGGAAGGAACACCUGCGGCGAAAGCGGCUCACUGGACAUUUACUGACGCUGAUGCACGAAAGCUAGGGGAGCAAACAGGAUUAGAUACCCUGGUAGUCCUAGCCCUAAACGAUGAUUGCUUGGUGUGGCAGGUACCCAAUCCUGCCGUGCCGAAGCUAACGCGAUAAGCAAUCCGCCUGGGGAGUACGGUCGCAAGGCUGAAACUUAAGGAAUUGACGG
RNAcentral lists this ribosomal RNA (561 nucleotides) under uncultured bacterium. RNAcentral describes it as "bacterial SSU rRNA". It matches the Rfam family "Bacterial small subunit ribosomal RNA", at positions 338 to 916 of the family's 1533-position model. The record is from RNAcentral.